AUACAGAGGGUGCGAGCGUUAAUCGGAAUUACUGGGCGUAAAGCGCGCGUAGGCGGCUUAUUAAGUCAGAUGUGAAAUCCCCGGGCUCAACCUGGGAACUGCAUCUGAUACUGGUAAGCUAGAGUUUUGGAGAGGGAAGUAGAAUUUCAGGUGUAGCGGUGAAAUGCAUAGAGAUCUGAAGGAAUACCAGUGGCGAAGGCGACUUCCUGGCCAAAAACUGACGCUGAGGUGCGAAAGCGUGGGUAGCAAACGGAAUUAGAUACCCCGGUAGUCC
This 274-nucleotide ribosomal RNA is filed under the name uncultured bacterium. Its description in RNAcentral is "partial 16S ribosomal RNA". It matches the Rfam family "Bacterial small subunit ribosomal RNA", at positions 523 to 796 of the family's 1533-position model. The record is from RNAcentral.